Molecule: ribosomal RNA, 253 nt
Filed under: uncultured bacterium
Lineage: Bacteria
Description: partial 16S ribosomal RNA
Rfam family: Bacterial small subunit ribosomal RNA
Source: RNAcentral
UACGAAGGGGGCUAGCGUUGCUCGGAAUCACUGGGCGUAAAGCGCACGUAGGCGGACUCUUAAGUCGGUGGUGAAAUCCUGGAGCUCAACUCCAGAACUGCCUUUGAUACUGAGGAUCUUGAGUUCGGGAGAGGUGAGUGGAACUGCGAGUGUAGAGGUGAAAUUCGUAGAUAUUCGCAUGAACACCAGUGGCGAAGGCGGCUCACUGGCCCGAUACUGACGCUGAGGCACGAAAGCGUGGGGAGCAAACAGG